GGUGAUGUGCGAGCAGAAUACAGAACGCGGCAUUCGUCAUUACGGGGAAACUAAAACAGAUAGCGCCAACCUUUUGCGCCUCGCGCUUUCACGCGCAAUUUCCGGGAUCCUCCAACGCGUCGAUUCCUCCGUCUUGCGUCCUUCCAUGCCGGGAGCCUUGAUUAUCGAUACAAUUUGUGAUAUAUUGUAUGUUGCGCUGGAGCUCUAAUGCAAACGCUGCGCUUGUGCGUUUACCCCGCUCUGGCAUAGGGCUUGCGUUUUCAUAAUGUUACGCUUUGCAAUACAUACAUAGAAAGGCGCAUUAUUUGCACGACAAAUUUCGCUGCGCUCGGGUUUCAAGGUUAUAACUCAAGUCAAAACAAGUCCAGCUGGCUUGAGGGGGCCGUAGCUCAUCAGCUUUCAAACACAAAAUCGUGUGAUGUGUGCGGGUGGGUGAGGGUGAGUCUGGGCGUGGGGUUGUGGGUAUGUCGCGUGGUAGACCGGCGAGGGCAGGGCACGAGCAGAGCGAGGGCGAGGGAGGAGCGUCGGAAGGGUGCAGGCACGGCGAGAGCGAGGGGUGAGGGCAGGGCAAGGGCAGGGCGAAGGCGAGGGCGGGGCAAGGGCAGGGCGAAGGCGAGGGCAGGGUUAGG
RNAcentral lists this long non-coding RNA (629 nucleotides) under Chlamydomonas reinhardtii. RNAcentral's name for it is "long non-coding RNA (CREI_LNC000134)". Lineage: Eukaryota; Viridiplantae; Chlorophyta; Chlorophyceae; Chlamydomonadales; Chlamydomonadaceae. The record is from RNAcentral.